RNAcentral lists this ribosomal RNA (730 nucleotides) under uncultured Dyella sp. Its description in RNAcentral is "bacterial SSU rRNA". It matches the Rfam family "Bacterial small subunit ribosomal RNA", at positions 8 to 728 of the family's 1533-position model. Lineage: Bacteria; Pseudomonadati; Pseudomonadota; Gammaproteobacteria; Lysobacterales; Rhodanobacteraceae. The record is from RNAcentral.
AGAGUUUGAUCCUGGCUCAGAUUGAACGCUGGCGGCAUGCCUAACACAUGCAAGUCGAACGGCAGCAUGAGAGAGCUUGCUCUCUUGAUGGCGAGUGGCGGACGGGUGAGUAAUGCAUCGGGACCUGCCCAGACGUGGGGGAUAACGUAGGGAAACUUACGCUAAUACCGCAUACGUCCUACGGGAGAAAGCGGGGGAUCUUCGGACCUCGCGCGGUUGGAUGGACCGAUGUUCGAUUAGCUAGUUGGUGAGGUAAUGGCUCACCAAGGCGACGAUCGAUAGCUGGUCUGAGAGGAUGAUCAGCCACACUGGGACUGAGACACGGCCCAGACUCCUACGGGAGGCAGCAGUGGGGAAUAUUGGACAAUGGGCGCAAGCCUGAUCCAGCAAUGCCGCGUGUGUGAAGAAGGCCUUCGGGUUGUAAAGCACUUUUAUCAGGAACGAAAACCUGUCGGUUAAUACCCGGCGGGCCUGACGGUACCUGAGGAAUAAGCACCGGCUAACUUCGUGCCAGCAGCCGCGGUAAUACGAAGGGUGCAAGCGUUAAUCGGAAUUACUGGGCGUAAAGCGUGCGUAGGCGGUUUGUUAAGUCUGCUGUGAAAUCCCCGGGCUCAACCUGGGAAUGGCAGUGGAUACUGGCAAGCUAGAGUGUGUCAGAGGGUGUGGAAUUCCCGGUGUAGCGGUGAAAUGCGUAGAGAUCGGGAGGAACAUCAGUGGCGAAGGCGGCCAC